This 1071-nucleotide long non-coding RNA is filed under the name Ursus maritimus (polar bear). RNAcentral describes it as "lncRNA (ENSUMAG00000007581.1)". The record is from RNAcentral. Lineage: Eukaryota; Metazoa; Chordata; Mammalia; Carnivora; Ursidae.
AAAAAAAACACACCAAUUUUACAGCUGAGCAGCAGGAAAAUGUCAGUACAUUACACUGAAGUGACCUAACACUUAUAUUAUAGUCCCACAAAUACCCAUUAUGGCUAUGCACUUUAAGUUUGGCUAAAUCAAAUAAGCAUCAUGAGAUUGCUCUUACCCUAAAAAUUUUGGGGAAAAACCCUAAGCAUUAUAAUGUGUGUGUGUGUGUGUGUGUGUGUGUGUGUUUACUCUUGUACCAAUUCCUAAACCCUAUAUCCCAGAAAGUAACCAAAAUUGUUUUUUAAAUACCAAAGAAGUACUUAUAGCAAGACGUAAGUCAAUUUUUCUGGUUUUGAGGGACGAAACCAAUAGGUGAUUAUUUAUGUCUCUUAAUGCUUUCAAAGGCGCUGUCUUCUGAAGAGCGAGCGUGGCUGCGGGCUGGGUAAGCAGGGAGAAGAAAGGAAGAGCUGCCUGCACCAAACAAGAAACACAUUGGCCGACACAGCAGCCCUGCCCAGUCUCACGGAUCAGUUCUCUAGUGAGCCAAAUCACAACGAAGCUUUAUGAGUUCACACUACACGGAUUACUGGCCUGCAAACCACAACCUAAUCUGUGUCCAGUAAGAGCCAAUCAAUAUUUUUCUCAGCAUCUCUAACUGAAUGACACGAAUGAAGUGGUUCUCACUGGGUAAGAGGCUGGCUGUUCAGAUUCUUGGGAAUCUUGUCAUGCACAGCUAAGAGUGUUGAUAAUGGCCGAGAAAUGUACUCCCACACUGACCUCUAAUUUUCUUUGUUCUUUUCCAGUCUCCCUUCAUGUGUCCUCCUCCCUAUAUUUGGCUAUCAUUCUGUCAAUUCUUUCGUGUUCCUGAUUUUAGUUUGAUAGCACAUUUGCGUCACAGCGGUUGCAAGCGGUUGAGAACUCAGGGGAGCCUGCAGGCCAGCAGCCCUCUGGCCCCGUUCCCCAGAUCCCUGCUUCACUGUCACCAGAUUGCCACCCAUUCUUGCCAACACCUCUGGUCACAGGGCUGAAGAAAUACGUACAGUUCACUGCUGCCCUCUGCUGCGUGGAAGGGUGAGGGACAAAGAACUGUCA